GCCAUACAGAGCAGUGCUGCCCUGCUCGAAUUUGCCACCUCCCUGCCUGGAUUUGAGGGCUGAACAUCAGAGAGGCAAGAGAGCUGUGGUGUCGGGACGGGCUCCAGGACACCGAGCGCCUGGGCUAUAGGAACAUGGCCAGGAUGUGGGGAGAUCUCAGCCGCUCAGCAGAAUGUGGGAGAGCCAAGUGCUGAUGGGCUAGAGGUGUCCCAUGAGUCGCUGUACAGCAGGUGCAGUGUCGGCAGUCACCAUGGACCAAACCCUGCGCUCCAGACAACCCAGGCUGUUUCCCUGGAUUGCAAAGGGGACUUUAGCUUGGGGAAUCGGUUGCUGAUGCCUGUGUCCACAUCUGGGCUGUUUUAAUGAGGCUACAUGAUGGUACAUGAAGAGCGAUUCAAGCAAGGGAGAAUGACCAUUAGAGAGCAAGGCUGGGCCCUUUGCCGAGCUGCUGCAGUCAAGCAUCCACAGCCAGAAGAGAGACGAUGGGAAACUUGCUUAGCUGGCUGGCGACAGCAGCAGCUGUCUCAUAAAGCUCUGCUCAUGCUCUAGACAACAGAGACAGGACAAAGAGCCACACAGUGAGAGCCUUGGUUGCAAUUAGCAAUACGAAUUUUUUUCAGUGGAUUAUGCUGGCCGAACAGUUUAUUUCCUGUAAUGUGCACAUCCAGCCUCCCUGGCUGACAUAAAUGGAAGUUAGGUUCUCCGUGCCCACAGGACAGGGCUGGCCUUAGCAUGAGGCAAACUGAGGCACCUGGCUCAGGUGAUAGAUUCUGUGUGUGUGUCUGUGUGUGUGUGUAUACACGUGCACGAGGGGGGGGCGCCACUAGGACUCAGGGUAGGUCCAUACUUACCCGCCGGGUCAACGCAGAGAUCUCGACAAAGCGAACGGCGGUGGCAGAGUCGA
This is a long non-coding RNA of Mauremys reevesii (Reeves's turtle), 904 nucleotides long. RefSeq lists it as uncharacterized. The transcript has 3 exons. The record is from RefSeq and is a predicted model, not a curated record. NCBI's taxonomy places the organism in Eukaryota, Metazoa, Chordata, Testudines, Geoemydidae.